This is a long non-coding RNA of Hypanus sabinus (Atlantic stingray), 837 nucleotides long. RefSeq lists it as uncharacterized. Lineage: Eukaryota; Metazoa; Chordata; Chondrichthyes; Myliobatiformes; Dasyatidae. The transcript is spliced from 3 exons. The record is from RefSeq and is a predicted model, not a curated record.
CGGUUUAUUGAUUCCAUUAUGAUCAAUGCAAAUUAAACAAUGUGUGAGCUGCUGACGUGCGGGAAUAAAUAAGCUGCUCCCGACUCACUCACACUCACACACAAUUAACUGACCGGCGACAAGGACUGACAGUUUGAAUAAUCAGUCCCGUUUCUCACCGUCACUCUGCAUCGGGGAACCGAUGAUUAUAAAAUCACACUUCAGGGCCGUGUCCGGGAUCGCUGCAGAUCCAGGGUCACUGCCGAGGGAUUUGUCCAUUUAACAUCAUUAUAUCGGCCAGGCUGCCGAAUGCACCGUCCUCAGCAAAGGGGGCAAAAGGAUUCUCUCCCGGGAUCAUCCCCCCCACCCCGGGACACCGGUGUCCCAGACUGAGCCCCGGCCUCCCGGGCUCUUCCUGUCCGGGUAAUUCCCCGGGGAGUCACGUCGGUGUCUCGUACACGCACUUCCGGCGGAAGCUGUCCCGCCGGACAACAGGCGGAAACACGUCACUGCGGGACCGCUGCGAGCGACGCACACAGCGCGAGGCCCGAGCCGGGUCCGUUAAAACCGUUGAAAGUUGAACCAGGCGCGCGGCCGUUAAAGGAUGAAGGACAAUGAUGAUCAAGCUUGUAGCGAUUUACUAAACCCGUGUUCAGGGGCACUGAGGGGUUUCAUUGACCGGGUGUGGACUGGAGCAAUAUUUACAGAGGUCCCAGAAACUAUUCUGUCCAGCUUUGGGACACCAAUCCGCAUUUUCACAAAGGUUUCCCACAUCACCCUCCGGGCGCGGGAGCCUUUCUCCAUCACCAGGCUCAGGAGGAGUUUAGAACUGUCCGCCCGCUCUCCCUUAUCAGCGAG